This 149-nucleotide non-coding RNA is filed under the name Gemmobacter megaterium. RNAcentral describes it as "FMN sequence". It matches the Rfam family "FMN riboswitch aptamer (RFN element)". Rfam says of the family: The RFN element is a highly conserved domain that is found frequently in the 5'-untranslated regions of prokaryotic mRNAs that encode for flavin mononucleotide (FMN) biosynthesis and transport proteins. This element is a metabolite-dependent riboswitch that directly binds FMN in the absence of proteins. The record is from Rfam by way of RNAcentral. Lineage: Bacteria; Pseudomonadati; Pseudomonadota; Alphaproteobacteria; Rhodobacterales; Paracoccaceae.
AGACGUUCUCAGGGCGGGGUGCAAUUCCCCACCGGCGGUAAAUGCGAGACCACGCAUAAGCCCGCGAGCGCCCGUCCGAUUGCGGCGGGGUCAGCAGAUCCGGUGCGAUUCCGGGGCCGACGGUAUAGUCCGGAUGAGAGAGAACGCAU